RNAcentral lists this ribosomal RNA (458 nucleotides) under uncultured bacterium. RNAcentral describes it as "partial 16S ribosomal RNA". It matches the Rfam family "Bacterial small subunit ribosomal RNA", at positions 338 to 795 of the family's 1533-position model. The record is from RNAcentral.
CCUACGGGUGGCAGCAGUGAGGAAUAUUGGUCAAUGGGCGAGAGCCUGAACCAGCCAAGUCGCGUGAGGGAGUACUGCCCUAUGGGUCGUAAACCUCUUUUGUCGGGGAGCAAAAGCCGGACGUGUUCGGCUGUGAGAGUACCCGAAGAAAAAGCAUCGGCUAACCCCGUGCCAGCAGCCGCGGUAAUACGGAGGAUGCGAGCGUUUUCCGGAUUUAUUGGGUUUAAAGGGGGCGCAGGCGGAUUUUUAAUUCAGCGGUCAAAUCGGGGGGCUCAAACCAGUACAGCCGUUGAAACUGGGGGUCUUGAGUAUGCGAGAGGUAUGCGGAAUGCGUGGUGUAGCGGUGAAAUGCAUAGAUAUCACGCAGAACCCCGAUUGCGAAGGCAGCAUACCGGUGCACAACUGACGCUGAGGCACGAAAGCGUGGGUAUCGAACAGGAUUAGAUACCCUUGUAGUC